This 253-nucleotide ribosomal RNA is filed under the name uncultured bacterium. Its description in RNAcentral is "partial 16S ribosomal RNA". It matches the Rfam family "Bacterial small subunit ribosomal RNA", at positions 524 to 776 of the family's 1533-position model. The record is from RNAcentral.
UACAGAGGUCUCAAGCGUUGUUCGGAUUCAUUGGGCGUAAAGGGUGCGUAGGCGGCGCGGUAAGUCGGGUGUGAAAUCUCGGGGCUUAACUCCGAAACUGCAUUCGAUACUGCCGUGCUUGAGGACUGGAGAGGAGACUGGAAUUUACGGUGUAGCGGUGAAAUGCGUAGAUAUCGGAAGGAAGACCAGUGGCGAAGGCGGGUCUCUGGACAGUUCCUGACGCUGAGGCACGAAGGCCAGGGGAGCAAACGGG